CCACGGGCGGCAGCAGUGGGGAAUAUUGGACAAUGGGGGGAACCCUGAUCCAGCCAUGCCGCGUGUGUGAAGAAGGCCCUCGGGUUGUAAAGCACUUUCAGUGAGGAAGAACGCCUGGUGGUUAAUACCCAUCAGGAAAGACAUCACUCACAGAAGAAGCACCGGCUAACUCCGUGCCAGCAGCCGCGGUAAUACGGAGGGUGCGAGCGUUAAUCGGAAUUACUGGGCGUAAAGCGCGCGUAGGUGGCUUGAUAAGCCGGUUGUGAAAGCCCCGGGCUCAACCUGGGAACGGCAUCCGGAACUGUCAAGCUAGAGUGCAGGAGAGGAAGGUAGAAUUCCCGGUGUAGCGGUGAAAUGCGUAGAGAUCGGGAGGAAUACCAGUGGCGAAGGCGGCCUUCUGGACUGACACUGACACUGAGGUGCGAAAGCGUGGGUAGCAAACAGGAUUAGAUACCCCGGUAGUC
This 464-nucleotide ribosomal RNA is filed under the name Vreelandella stevensii. Its description in RNAcentral is "partial 16S ribosomal RNA". It matches the Rfam family "Bacterial small subunit ribosomal RNA", at positions 339 to 795 of the family's 1533-position model. The record is from RNAcentral. Lineage: Bacteria; Pseudomonadati; Pseudomonadota; Gammaproteobacteria; Oceanospirillales; Halomonadaceae.